This 253-nucleotide ribosomal RNA is filed under the name uncultured bacterium. RNAcentral's name for it is "partial 16S ribosomal RNA". It matches the Rfam family "Bacterial small subunit ribosomal RNA", at positions 524 to 776 of the family's 1533-position model. The record is from RNAcentral.
UACGGGGGGAGCAAGCGUUGUUCGGAUUUACUGGGCGUAAAGGGCGCGUAGGCGGGUGCUCAAGUCUGUGGUGAAAUCCUCCGGCUCAACCGGAGAACUGCCAUGGAUACUGGGUGCCUCGAGGGUGGUAGGGGUAUGCGGAACUAUCGGUGGAGCGGUGAAAUGCGUUGAUAUCGAUAGGAACUCCGGUGGCGAAGGCGGCAUACUGGACCACUUCUGACGCUGAGGCGCGAAAGCCAGGGGAGCAAACGGG